UCCGGUUUGUCACCUGCAGUCUCAUUAGAGUGCCCUUGCGUAGCAACUAAUGAUAAGGGUUGCGCUCGUUGCGGGACUUAACCCAACAUCUCACGACACGAGCUGACGACAGCCAUGCAGCACCUGUGCAGCCGUCCCAAAGGACGCCCCAGGUUUCCCCAGAGCUUCAGCUGCAUGUCAAGCCUAGGUAAGGUUCUUCGCGUUGCGUCGAAUUAAACCACAUGCUCCACCGCUUGUGCGGGCCCCCGUCAAUUCCUUUGAGUUUCAGCCUUGCGGCCGUACUCCCCAGGCGGGGCACUUAAUGCGUUAGCGCCGGCACCCAGGGGGUCGCUCCCCCAGGCACCUAGUGCCCAUCGUUUACGGCGUGGACUAC
RNAcentral lists this unclassified non-coding RNA (373 nucleotides) under uncultured Gemmatimonadaceae bacterium. RNAcentral describes it as "contains 16S-23S intergenic spacer region". The record is from RNAcentral. Lineage: Bacteria; Pseudomonadati; Gemmatimonadota; Gemmatimonadia; Gemmatimonadales; Gemmatimonadaceae.